UUUAUGGAGAGUUUGAUCCUGGCUCAGGAUGAACGCUGGCGGCGUGCCUAAUACAUGCAAGUCGAGCGAACGGACGAGAAGCUUGCUUCUCUGAUGUUAGCGGCGGACGGGUGAGUAACACGUGGAUAACCUACCUAUAAGACUGGGAUAACUUCGGGAAACCGGAGCUAAUACCGGAUAAUAUUUUGAACCGCAUGGUUCAAAAGUGAAAGACGGUCUUGCUGUCACUUAUAGAUGGAUCCGCGCUGCAUUAGCUAGUUGGUAAGGUAACGGCUUACCAAGGCAACGAUGCAUAGCCGACCUGAGAGGGUGAUCGGCCACACUGGAACUGAGACACGGUCCAGACUCCUACG
Molecule: ribosomal RNA, 353 nt
Filed under: Staphylococcus aureus
Lineage: Bacteria; Bacillati; Bacillota; Bacilli; Caryophanales; Staphylococcaceae
Description: bacterial SSU rRNA
Rfam family: Bacterial small subunit ribosomal RNA
Source: RNAcentral